Molecule: long non-coding RNA, 403 nt
Organism: Stegastes partitus (bicolor damselfish)
Lineage: Eukaryota; Metazoa; Chordata; Actinopteri; Pomacentridae
Exons: 2
Source: RefSeq, a predicted model, not a curated record
ACCGUGUUGUUUUAAUAUUUGAGUCUUUUGUUUCUUUAUGAAGUAUUAUGUGGAGUGAAACAGGUUUAUCAAUAAAAACUAUAAAAUUACAAUCUUUGUGUUUGAUUAUUUAAAAAAAGCUUUUAAUAGAUUUUAUAGCAAUUGAUCACAAAUGUCAGUUCUGAUGUGUGUUUGUAAUGUGGAGGUACAGGAGUAAAAAGGUUUUUUUUAUUUUUUAACUUAACUCUGCAUUUUAAUUGUGACAUAGACCAAAUUCAGAUGAAUCAUUUGGUGGCUUGUACAUAUUUCAGCAUUAAACAUCACAGUUAUUUCUUCUUGUUUUUCCCUUUAAUAUAUAUACUCAAAGUGUUGAAGACUAUUCACAUUUAUUUAGUGCAGCAUUUUCAAUAAACUGGAGAUAACA